UUAGGAAUCUUGGACAAUGGGCGCAAGCCUGAUCCAGCCAUGCCGCGCGAGUGAUGAAGGCCCUAGGGUUGUAAAGCUCUUUCAGCGGGGAAGAUAAUGACGGUACCCGCAGAAGAAGCCCCGGCUAACUUCGUGCCAGCAGCCGCGGUAAUACGAAGGGGGCUAGCGUUGCUCGGAAUCACUGGGCGUAAAGCGCACGUAGGCGGCUUUCUAAGUCAGGGGUGAAAUCCCGGAGCUCAACUCCGGAACUGCCUUUGAUACUGGAAAGCUUGAGUCCGGGAGAGNUGAGUGGAACUGCGAGUGUAGAGGUGAAAUUCGUAGAUAUUCGCAAGAACACCAGUGGCGAAGGCGGCUCACUGGCCCGGUACUGACGCUGAGGUGCGAAAGCGUGGGGAGCAAACA
Molecule: ribosomal RNA, 402 nt
Filed under: uncultured bacterium
Lineage: Bacteria
Description: bacterial SSU rRNA
Rfam family: Bacterial small subunit ribosomal RNA
Source: RNAcentral